UCAGCACCUAAAUUCCUUAUUUAUGCCUCCAGUGACUUAGUGACUUAGGUGAUAUUGCAAAGGAAAAAUGAGGCCUCCUGGUAACAAACAUCUUACCAUUAUAUGCAUCACCUUUUUAUGACCUGUCAUGAGUUUAUUUUCUUCAGUAACUCCACUGUCUGCAAUACAUGCUUCAGGUUCCCCAGAAUCUCUUGACUUCUAGCAGACACAACCCGAGUGGCAGAUAUUCAUAGAGGUGGUAUGAAACAACAGGAAGAAGAGGAAGGAGGAAGAGGAAGGAGGAAGGAGAAAGGAGGAAAAGAAGAAACAACACUUUUAAAAUGCAGGGAAGGUCAACUUGACUAUCAAGAGACAAAAUCUGAUAUGCACUCUUUGCUAAUAUACAAUGGACAGAUGCCAAAUGAGGACUGAUAUAUCCAUGCCAAUUGUCCACGUGGAUCAGCAGUCUAUAGAAUAAAUGAUACUAACAUAAAAUUAUUCUGAAUGAC
Molecule: long non-coding RNA, 488 nt
Filed under: Salvator merianae (Argentine black and white tegu)
Lineage: Eukaryota; Metazoa; Chordata; Lepidosauria; Squamata; Teiidae
Description: lncRNA (ENSSMRG00000022501.1)
Source: RNAcentral